Molecule: long non-coding RNA, 1645 nt
Organism: Siniperca chuatsi (mandarin fish)
Lineage: Eukaryota; Metazoa; Chordata; Actinopteri; Centrarchiformes; Sinipercidae
Exons: 3
Source: RefSeq, a predicted model, not a curated record
CUCAGACAGAUGCUGCAGGUCAGCUCAUCCUCCAGACUCAUGAGAGAAAACUGACUCUCGUCCACUUCGGCCAUGAUGAAACGUCAGGUGAGGCUACGAGGGAGAAACGAAACUCAACUUCACAAGUACCAAAACCAAUGAUGUUCCGGCUCCCGGCUGCCUCUCCCUGAAAUAUUAGUGAAUGCACAAUUGAGCCUGCUCAGUUGCUUCAUGAACCAACUCGGUUUUACGUGUACUUUGUUUUAAUAUUACAGUAAAAUCUAUAUUGCAUUGGACUCUAUUUGACUCAAGUGUUUUAUUGAAGAAGAAUUAAACAGUGUGUGAGAGGACCUGGACACAUUUGGCCUAGCUGAAGGUUUUUUCUCCCACAUUAUACAGUUUAGAUUAUUUCUCCUUUAAUUCUGAGAAAUAAAGUUUUGGCGCGUUCAACUCCUGUUUGGGCUUCAUUCCAUUUCAAAUAGCUGCUGGUCUGCCGGUCAGAGUCCAAAAGCCAAUAUCUCUGUUACGUAAGGGCGUUUUAUAGCCUGUGAUUGUAAAAUGUGAAGUUGCUCAUUUAAUUUUAUAUUUCCAAGAAUAUGUGGUUGGGGAUAUUUAAUAUGAAAUCACCUUUCUUAAGAAAGGGUUACAUCUCUCAUUGAAUCCCUGCACUUGUCACGUCAUAUAUAUCAUCAAACUGGACUUUUUAUUGUGCAUUGCAUUCAACCUCCACUGUUACAUAAUUUAAUUAUUUAUGCACAUGUCACAUUUAAAGGCGCUAUCGAUAACAUCCAGCCACUAGAUGACGCACUCCCCCUCCCCCCUUCCAUUCCAUUCCAGUGGUUACCAGUUCUUGCACAACCUGCUGUUAUGGUCAGCCACCCUGCCUUUUGUCGCUGCAGUUUCUCUUUCCCUGUGUGUCUUGUCUGUCCUCCGUUUGUCUGUGUGUAUGUGCUCCGGCUUCCCUGGCUCUCACCUGCUGCCGAUCACCGGCGCACCUGUCAUCAAUUAUCAUCAGUCUCUACAGCUUAAAGACUGGGCUCUUCCUCAUCUCCAGUGCCAGAUCGUCUCUCUGUAUACCUACAUCCCUCUCGCCGGUGAUCAGCCACGUCACCUCACGGAUUUCUGCUAACCUGUUCACCCGUCUUGCUCCUGCCCUGCCAGCUAACCAACUGUCUCCCAGUUCAGUCAGUUUACCAGCAGUCUCCCAGCUGGCCAGCGAACCAACGGUGUCCUCAACCCCACCGGUGAAAUCCCCAGGCCACUUGGAGCCAGCUCACCUCGCUCUACGGAUCCGUGACCGGCCUCACAUCACCACCCGCCGUUCUUGGUUCAGAGCAGUCCAUUCCGGACUUGAUUCACCGCUUCACUAAGAGCCGCAGUGGACGGCUCUGUUUUCCCCCUCCCUCAAGAAAAGACUAUAUUCUUGCACUUACCGUGGGUUGAAUAAAGAUUGACUUUUCUAUUUCACUCCUUGUGUCCUGCAUUUGUGGGUUCUGACUCGUACAUUACGACACCUGCAUAUUUCAUGGUCGAGUGGAGUGAGACUCAGACAGUCAUGUCAAGUGAUGAAUCUUUUGUGAUAGAGUUAUGAAUUCUUUUUGCAACAUGUAGCUAUACAUUAGCUAUAGAUUUGGGUUACUUUGUGCGGUGGUGUUUCAUGUAUCUA